This 468-nucleotide ribosomal RNA is filed under the name uncultured bacterium. Its description in RNAcentral is "partial 16S ribosomal RNA". It matches the Rfam family "Bacterial small subunit ribosomal RNA", at positions 28 to 507 of the family's 1533-position model. The record is from RNAcentral.
GACGAACGCUGGCGGCGUGCCUAACACAUGCAAGUCGAACGGAAAGGCCCUGCUUUUGCGGGGUGCUCGAGUGGCGAACGGGUGAGUAACACGUGUGUAACCUGUCCCUGACUGUGGGAUAACUUCAGGAAACUGGGGCUAAUACCGCAUAGGAGCUCUAGCUGCAUGGUGGGGGUUGGAAAGAUUCGGCCGUUGGAGAUGGACUCGCGGCUAAUCAGCUGGUUAGGGGGGUAGUGGCAGACCACGGCUUUGACGGAUAGCCGACCUGAGAGGUUGACCGGCGACAUUACGACUACGAUACGCCGCAGACGCGUACGGGAGGCAGCGGUGGAGAGUAUUACGGAGCGAGCGGGAGCCUGUUGCGACAACGCCGCGAGCGGGAUGACGGGCUUCUGGUUGUAAACCGCUUUCGCCUUUACCGAACCGUGCGUGACGGUAAUGGAUCAAAAAGCCACGGCUAACUACGUG